This is a long non-coding RNA of Lotus japonicus, 1121 nucleotides long. RefSeq lists it as uncharacterized. The transcript is spliced from 3 exons. The record is from RefSeq and is a predicted model, not a curated record. NCBI's taxonomy places the organism in Eukaryota, Viridiplantae, Streptophyta, Magnoliopsida, Fabales, Fabaceae.
AAGCAAAUCAUGCACCCUCUUCGUUGACUUUAUAUUGGGUGCCCUUUCUUUCAAAUUUGAAGUUCUUGGAGUCCAACUUGUGUGGUAAAUGUUGUUAUAGGCGAGAUUAGAGUUCAGUGAGGUGCAAGUUAUUGGAGAUUAAGUUAUUUGUUGAUGACUUGCGAUGGAAAUAAGUUUGAGAAAUUAUCUUUUUUAUACUGGAGCAAAUGAAUUGGCUUAAUGUAGUGAAUCACUUGCCCAUUGUAAAAAUUUGCUUGAAAGGAUUUGCAAAACGAGGUAUUCUUCAGAUGAACCAGUAGCCACUACAGGAAGUGAGGAAGCUGAUAAUAUUGCACUUCAUGCGUGGGAGAAAAUAUUAAGAACCCUGCUUUGAGUUAAUCUUUUGGGAAUUGCGAGUAUAAGAUCUCCUGGCACAACACCGUCUGAGACUACAGUGACUGGGUUACCAAGCCAACCUCCGCAAUUUUACACAAAACACGCCUCCACACCCAGUGAGCCAACACUGCUGAUUGAAAGUCCUUGCAGCCAUAUGACAACAUUAGAGGGUGAACCUACGAUGGCAAUUGAGCAACCAACUUCCACAAUGUUUGAUUUGGGUGCUGAGACAACAUUACUUGAGGAGCUUGACAAUUUUUCUGUCAUUUCACUACCUAAUCAGGUCAGGUCAGAUUGUAUGGCUAUUGCAACAAACCCUGAUGCAGUUUGUAAAAUCCCACAUGAACUGUUUGAUAAAAUGCAUGAGAGAAAAGGGCAAAAACAUGUUGCUACUAAUUUUGACAAAUUGUUUCGCCAAUUAUGCACACCUAAUUUUGCAAUGGGGAAGUUGAUGCGAUCACUAUUUCUAUCAUCAGUAAGCACACACUCAAGGUUGUCAACGAAAUUUGUCAUGAAUGAAAAUAGACUUACGCUGCCCUUGGAAGUUGUUGCCGUGCUGAAGACGAGAACUGAGGCCGCGUAUCACUCUUCCAAUUCCAAUUUUGCACUGUGUAAAUUCCGAGCUUUCAAGAAAUGCACAGUGAUUUUCCUGUAGUUAAACCAUCGUCGUUAGUUAAUGUGUAUAAAAUAAUCAAUUGAGACCUAGAAUUUUGGAAAUCUGGAAAUCACCUCUUCGGUUUGUGUAA